UCCUAUGAUGGCAUGAAAUCUUUGAGACCUGAUUGUCUAAUUUGAUGACAGCUAUAAGCAUAAUCACUGAGGAU
Small nucleolar RNA from Gastrolobium bilobum, 74 nucleotides. RefSeq annotates it as small nucleolar RNA R66. NCBI's taxonomy places the organism in Eukaryota, Viridiplantae, Streptophyta, Magnoliopsida, Fabales, Fabaceae. The transcript has a single exon. The record is from RefSeq and is a predicted model, not a curated record.